Molecule: RNA transcript, 3341 nt
Organism: Physcomitrium patens
Lineage: Eukaryota; Viridiplantae; Streptophyta; Bryopsida; Funariales; Funariaceae
Gene name: phragmoplastin DRP1C
Source: RefSeq, a predicted model, not a curated record
CAUGCAUAGGCGUCGCGAUGGCUGCUGCUGCGAUCGUCUCCGAAUAAAGUCACUCUGUCCAUUUGAUUGUGGUUCGAUGGCUGCUUGGAUUCGUAGUUCAGAUUCGCCAUGUUCGGCGAGAAAACCACAACUCGACGCAGCGGAAUUCCCCGUCGAACGAGCCGCGGGGACUCGUUGGACGUAGCGAACUGAAUGGGGGUAUCGUCCGGCACCUGGCAAUUCUCGGCGAGGGAGUGCCGAGUAUCCGGGAUAGUGAUAGUGGCACAGUUGGACAAUCAGAGCAUCCGGUUUCCUCCACCCUCUUCACCCCAGAUUUCAUCCGUCCAUGGUAUUUGUUCUCUGGAUCCGGACACCCACCUGCGUCGAUCGAUGUGCUGAGGUCGCAUUGCCAAGGGUGGUGCUGCGGUGUUUGGAUCCAGCCGCACGCGAUCCACUGCUACCUCGCUGCCUGGCUCCUGCGUCAAUCACAUCACGGUCCCAGAGCCCGCAUUUCUUCUCCUCGGAUCGGCGCCGCAGCAGUGCAUUUGCCCGCCGCAGCUCAGCUCUACAAAUGUGCAGAGAUCUAUCACUCAUACACGUCCAGAAAUAAAACGCUGUUCCGGCGAAUAGAUUCCGACACUGCCAUUGUUGGAGGAACGAGAGUCUCUUUGGAACUGCUGCGAUGAGUUUGUGCUGCAUCUGUUAAAGCUUUAGGAAGCUGUGUUUUGGUAUCGCAUUUGUCACAUUGUCUGGGAUCAGGGAUACAAACUUGUUAUGAUGUGGUCUAUGGACUUGUCAUAAAACUUGUUGACGGUGGGUUUUUCAACAGUAGUUGUUGCCUUUCUAAUACGCAGUUGGGUAGAGAUUGAAGAAUACGUGUAAUAAUAUUUUGUUGCUGUUUCGCUGAAGUUGGUGGCACUGCAGGUACUGACGUUAGUGGUACGAGACUCAGGCCUGGGUGGCUUUUGUAAGGUUCCAAGGGAGGGCUCAAAAUGGAUAACCUGAUUGGGCUAGUGAACAGGAUCCAAAGGGCUUGCACUGCCCUUGGUGAUCAUGGUGGUGAAGGUGCUGUACAAAGUCUAUGGGAAGCCUUGCCAUCAGUUGCUGUUGUUGGAGGGCAGAGUUCCGGGAAGUCUUCUGUUCUUGAGAGCAUCGUCGGACGUGAUUUUCUUCCUCGGGGUUCCGGUAUUGUUACUCGGCGUCCAUUGGUUUUGCAGCUGCAUAAAACUGACGAAGGCACUCCAGAAUACGCUGAGUUCCUUCAUAUGCCCAAGAAGCGCUUUUCUGAUUUUGCUGCUGUGAGGAAAGAGAUCUCAGACGAGACAGAUCGGAUAACUGGGCGAGGCAAAGGGAUUUCAGUUGUUCCAAUUCAGCUCAGUGUUUAUUCUCCUAAUGUUGUGAAUUUGACUCUUAUCGAUCUUCCCGGCCUUACAAAAAUUGCUGUUGAUGGCCAAUCGGAUAGUAUCGUUCAAGACAUUGAGAACAUGGUCCGCUCUUACAUCGAGAAGCAAAAUUCAAUUAUUCUUGCUGUAUCUCCUGCCAAUCAAGAUAUCGCAACUUCAGACGCGAUGAAAAUCGCAAGAGAAGUGGAUCCCACUGGAGAGAGGACUUUUGGUGUUCUCACAAAGUUGGAUCUUAUGGACAAGGGGACCAAUGCCCUCGAUGUCCUGGAAGGCCGUUCCUACCGUUUGAAACAUCCGUGGGUAGGAGUUGUAAAUCGUUCCCAACAAGACAUCAACAAGGAAGUGAACAUGAUAGCAGCCAGACGUAGAGAACGAGACUACUUCCAGACCAGUCAAGAUUAUGGUCACUUGGCCAGCAAAAUGGGUUCUGAAUAUCUUGGGAAAGUGCUCUCGAAGCAUCUGGAAGCUGUUAUCAGGUCGCGUAUUCCUAGCAUCCUGGCUAUGAUUAACAAAAGCAUUGACGAAAUUGAGGCGGAGCUCAAUCAAAUUGGCAGGCCACUCGCCAAUGACGCAGGGGCUCAGCUGUACACCAUUCUGGAACUUUGCAGGGCAUUCGAUCGCAUUUUCAAGGAGCAUCUGGAUGGAGCACGGCCUGGUGGAGAGAAAAUAUAUGCCGUGUUUGACAAUCAACUACCAGCUGCAUUGAAGAAACUUCCGUUCGACAAGCAUUUGUCUGGACAGAAUGUUCGAAGAAUCGUGUCCGAGGCCGAUGGGUACCAGCCCCAUCUUAUAGCUCCUGAACAAGGUUACAGGCGUUUGAUUGAAAGUUCGCUACAAUUCUUCAGAGGCCCAGCAGAGGCAGUUGUUGAUGCAGUGCAUUUUAUUCUUCGGGAUCUGGUUCGAAAAUCGAUCGGAGAGUGUUCGGAACUGAAAAGAUUUCCAUCACUACAAGCGGAGAUUGCUCAAGCGGCCAUCGAAUCCUUGGAGAGGUUGAGAGAUGAUAGUAAGAAGACUACUUUGAGGCUUGUGGACAUGGAGUCCAGCUACUUGACCGUAGACUUCUUUCGAAAGCUUCCUCAAGAGAUAGAGAAGGGUGGAAAUGCAGCUGCCGCAGCUAAUGAUCGUUACACGGACAAUCAUUUGCGACGCAUCGGUUCCAAUGUGGCAUCGUACGUAGGAAUGGUCUGUGACCAACUGAGAACAUCUUUGCCCAAAGCUGCGGUGCACUGUCAAGUGCGAGAAGCGAAACGAUCAUUGAUGGACCACUUUUACACUCAGAUCGGCAAGCGUGAGGGGAAGCAACUAUCUGCAAUGCUGGAUGAGGACCCUGCGUUGAUGGAACGCAGAGUUCAGCUGUCCAAAAGGUUGCAACUUUACAAAUCAGCUAGGGACGAGAUUGAUGCUGUGGCCUGGAAAUAGAUCAACGGCUAUACUCAUUUCUCCUAUAUAUGAUCAGCGUAAAUCUGACGCUCCAUUUCAACAAGUAAAUCAAAUACGAAAGUCGACCAUUUUUCUACAAUUGUCUUCAUCUGAAUUGUCAAUCCAGCUCCAGCAAUCGACCAUGCGUGUUCAGAAGAUAUCUUGCAAAUUUGCGGCAUAGCUUUGAUAAAUAUUUUAUGAGAUGCAUGCUUUGGCCACACUUGGUUUCAUUAUCGCGAACAUGGUGAUGUCUCUUAGAGAUAAGGUUGGUGAUUGUCCACACAAAGAGACAGGAAAUAUUUUUGGCAAAUGUGGUUGCCACUUUUGCUAAUGUAAGGAACCUUAAGGAUGUGAACUAGUGUUGUACUAGUGAAAAUUAUAAUUCGGUUUCUAGUACGAGUUAGUUAGAAUACGUAUUUAGAACGGAAGGUGAGAUUAUGAAAAAAAAUAUUGAUUACAAUUACCUCAAAUAUAGACCAUGGUCGAAGUCACUUCUAAAUCAAAUGGAAUGUAUUCCAAAUUGAUUUGACCAUAACUAAA